This 467-nucleotide ribosomal RNA is filed under the name uncultured bacterium. Its description in RNAcentral is "partial 16S ribosomal RNA". It matches the Rfam family "Bacterial small subunit ribosomal RNA", at positions 28 to 506 of the family's 1533-position model. The record is from RNAcentral.
GACGAACGCUGGCGGCGUGCUUAACACAUGCAAGUCGAACGGAAAGGCACUGAUUUUGUGGGGUGCUAGAGUGGCGAACGGGUGAGUAAGUCGCGCGUAACCUGCCCUUGACUCUGGGAUAACUUAAGGUAACUGGGGCUAAUAACGGCCAGGUGCUCCCGCUGCAUGGUGGGGGUUGGAAAGUUACGGCGGUUGGGGCUGGAAACGCGGCUUAUCAGCUUGUUGGUGGGGUAGUGGCUUACCAAGGCUUUGAAGGGUAGCCGACCUGGGAGGGUAAACGGCCACAUUGGGACUGGGAUGCGGCCGAGACGCCUACGGGGGGCAGCAGUGGAGAAUAUUGCACAAAGGGCGGAUGCCUGAUGCAGCAACGCCGCGUGCGAGAUGACGGCCUUCGGGUUGUAAGCCGCUUUCGCGUGUGACGAGGCGGAAUUGACGGUAAUGGAUAAAGAAGCACCGCCUAACUACGU